UUAUUAUUAUUGUAACUACUAUUAAUGUCGUAUACAAAAAGAUCAAAAUUGGAAAUCAACAGGAAUUUUUGCAAUCACGGAAUCCGAUACUGAAGUAUACGUCUUUAAAACAGAAACGUUUGUGAUUUUAUGUCAAUAAAUGCUUUUUAACCAAAUAAGUAUAUCGCAAAAAAGAGGCCCUUCUAAUAAUACGUGUAUCCAUUAAGUAAUGUAUAAUGAAUGCAUUAGUACGUGUUGCUAACACUACAAAAUCUUAUCUAAUAUUGUGAUAAAAGUUUAAUGAAUUUGAAAAUUUCGGAUUGCACCAAGUGAAACUGUUUAUUUUGUUAAAAAGUUCCAAUUACUUGUUAAAAAAGUAUUUUUUGUAUUUAUGCGUCUUGAUACGAAACCAAAAAAGUUUGUUGCUGUUGAGAUGGUGAUCUGAUGAUCAUGAUCAUUAUUAUGAUGCAGAGACAUUGUAGUACUUUAACCAGUCUGUGACAAUAUUUAGGGGUCUAAGAUGUAGUCGUUCGAUAAAAAUUUUAUUAUGGUUGAUGUAUAAGCGUCAGUUUGAAGCCUGAUCCUUCUUAAAAGUGUAAAUGUUGGUUUUUAAGUAACUACUUGAAAUGGUCUCAAAUUACAAUACGUUUUUAAUUGUAAGUUAUUAUUACUUUUAAUAUGUAAAUCGAACAUGAUUAUGGCUGGUGAUCUCGUUGAAGGGAUUCCCCUGUUUGCUGUAUUUAUUUCAUGUGUUAAUUAUUCAUUCACUGUGUAUCAAAAAAAGAUGUUCAAUAAAUCAUCGGUUAAACAGAAAAGGAUCCUCUAACAUUUAAUCUCAUCCUGAUAAACGUUCAUACAUUAAUAUUUGUUCCUGACCUAGUGGCGUUUCUAGCGCCACUACAUUUUGUUUUGAUUGACACUAUGAAUAUGAAUCUAUGAAUUUAUGCACCUUUGUAUAUCUAUUAUCUAUGAUGUGUUGCUAUGAUACAUUGUCUGAGCCCUAUGACACAUUGAUUAUCUAUGACACAUUAUCUUGAAAGUGAAAGCGAAUCCCCGGUACAUCGCCGUUUUAAAGUUCUGAAAUUUUACAAUUUAACUUGCUUUUCUGUGCAAGUUUUUAUUCUGUUUCAUAAUGUAUGCAUCUAAUACGGUAGUUAAUUUGCUGUUCUCUAUUUAUGGAGGAUUCUGUAGUUAAUUAAGGAACAUAGCAUUAUAAAAACUGCGGAUGCCACAAAGUCCUCCUUACCUACAGAAAGUAACUGUACUUACAAUCCCAAAGAAGGCAUGAAAAUGCCUUUCUUCUACUACGAAUGCAGUCAAUUAAAGUCAGCUAAAGGAAGGAUUUUUGACAAUGAAUUAAUUCCCCAAGAAAUGAGAAGGAAUUGCAGCAUCUUCACAUUGCAACAUUAUGCAGUUAAUUUUGGAGCUGCAAGAAGGUAGACAUCUGCAGAUUUGAAAACCGUUGAAACAAAUUGUCUACAGUCCUGCAUUUGGUUUGCUUUUCCCAGUUGUAAACUGAAACGUUACAGUUUAUAGUUAAUUUAGAUUGCCCAACAAAUGAGAAGGAAUUGAAGCAUCUUAACCUUGCAACAUUAUGCAGUUAAUUUUGGACCUGCAGAAGGUAGACAUCUGCAGAUUUGAAAACCGUUGAAACAAAUUGUCUACAGUCCUGCAUUUGGUUUGCUUUUCACCUUGCAAACUUUGGAGCGUUACAGUCUAUAGUUAAUUAAGAUCGACGUUGGAGAAGACAAAGAUGACC
Molecule: long non-coding RNA, 1738 nt
Filed under: Agrilus planipennis (emerald ash borer)
Lineage: Eukaryota; Metazoa; Arthropoda; Insecta; Coleoptera; Buprestidae
Description: uncharacterized LOC112905454
Source: RNAcentral